RNAcentral lists this transfer RNA (65 nucleotides) under Dipodomys ordii (Ord's kangaroo rat). It matches the Rfam family "tRNA". Rfam says of the family: Transfer RNA (tRNA) molecules are approximately 80 nucleotides in length. Their secondary structure includes four short double-helical elements and three loops (D, anti-codon, and T loops). The record is from Rfam by way of RNAcentral. Lineage: Eukaryota; Metazoa; Chordata; Mammalia; Rodentia; Heteromyidae.
GGUGGCUCAGUGGUAGAGUGCUUGCCUUGCAUGCAAGAGGCCCUGGGUUUGAUUCCCCAGCACCA